This 283-nucleotide long non-coding RNA is filed under the name Oryza brachyantha (malo sina). Its description in RNAcentral is "long non-coding RNA (OBRA_LNC001051)". Lineage: Eukaryota; Viridiplantae; Streptophyta; Magnoliopsida; Poales; Poaceae. The record is from RNAcentral.
UGCAUUUAGGUUGUGAGCUUUGGGGAGAAACGCCUGUUCCUUUCAUGACUCCUCCCAUUCCCUCAAGACAAAAUGAUUUGGAAGGGUUGGUUGUUCUUCCUCCGAUGCAUCUUCUCAACUCUCACUCACUUAUUUCUAUCUAUGUCUUAUAUUUUAGGCUCAUGAGAUGUUGGCAUGUUCAGAAUAUUUUCAAGUGAGGGUACACUUGAAAAUUCAGCUGUCCUCCACAAAGUACUUCAUGGGUGUGAGAAGACACAAAGUGUGGUGUAACUCUUAUAAAGCC